CGGGGGAGGCCGGAUCCUGGGCUGUGUCCCGGCGCCCUGUGCCCCGGGUCCUGUGCUGCUGGAUUCGCGCUCCCGGCCAUGCAGCCCCCU
This 90-nucleotide microRNA precursor is filed under the name Canis lupus familiaris (dog). Its description in RNAcentral is "mir-8799 microRNA precursor family". It matches the Rfam family "mir-8799 microRNA precursor family". RNAcentral also lists the same sequence under 1 other name. The record is from Rfam by way of RNAcentral. Lineage: Eukaryota; Metazoa; Chordata; Mammalia; Carnivora; Canidae.